This 250-nucleotide ribosomal RNA is filed under the name uncultured prokaryote. RNAcentral's name for it is "partial 16S ribosomal RNA". It matches the Rfam family "Bacterial small subunit ribosomal RNA", at positions 524 to 773 of the family's 1533-position model. The record is from RNAcentral.
UACGUAGGUGGCGAGCGUUGUCCGGAUUUACUGGGUGUAAAGGGCGCGUAGGCGGGAAGGCAAGUCAGGUGUGAAAUCUAUGGGCUCAACCCAUAAACUGCACUUGAAACUGUUUUUCUUGAGUGUCGGAGAGGUAGAUGGAAUUCCUAGUGUAGCGGUGAAAUGCGUAGAUAUUAGGAGGAACACCAGUGGCGAAGGCGAUCUACUGGACGAUAACUGACGCUGAGGCGCGAAAGCGUGGGGAGCAAAC